UAUAAGUGAAGCUAUAAGUUUUCGUGCCCAACUUUGAUCGUCUGUCUUGUUUGAAAUUUUUUUAUGAUUAGUAUUUUUGUUGUUAUUAGAUGAUAAAAUAUGAAUAGUACUUUAUACGUGACUUAUGUUUUUAAUUUUUUUUUAAAAAAAUUUAAAUAAGACAGACGAUUAAUGUUGGACACGGAAAAUCAUGGAUGCACUUAAA
This is a non-coding RNA of Oryza glumipatula, 205 nucleotides long. Lineage: Eukaryota; Viridiplantae; Streptophyta; Magnoliopsida; Poales; Poaceae. The record is from Rfam.